AACGCACAUUGCACCUUUUGGUAUUCCAUGAGGUAUACAUGUUCGAGCGUCGUUUAAAUCUGAGACUUACGUCUUUUGUUGACGUCCUCCGACGGAAGUUGGAACGUUAAAAUGCAUUGGCGCACGUGUUCUGUAGCGAACCCAAUAAACUGGGAAUGCACGGAAGUUCGGGCCGUCUUAACCCUAAAACUUUAAUUUAACCUUCGACCUCGAAUCAUGUAGGAUUACCCGCUGAACUUAA
Molecule: unclassified non-coding RNA, 241 nt
Filed under: uncultured fungus
Lineage: Eukaryota; Fungi
Description: sequence contains ITS2
Source: RNAcentral